UUCCAGCUCCAAUAGCGUAUAUUAAGGUUGUUGCAGUUAAAAAGCUCGUAGUUGAAUUUCGGGAUUGGCGCAUCGGUCGUGCCUCACGGGGUAUGAACUGGUGCAGUCAAUUUCUCACCUUCUGGAGAACCGCGAUGUCCUUAAUUGGAUGCCGCGGGGAACCAGGACCUUUACUUUGAAAAAAUUAGAGUGUUUAAAGCAGGCAUUUUUGCUUGAAUACAUUAGCAUGGAAUAAUAAAAUAGGACGGCAUGGUUCUAUUUUGUUGGUUUCUAGGACCACCGUAAUGAUUAAUAGGGAUAGUUGGGGGCAUUAGUAUUCAAUUGUCAGAGGU
This 332-nucleotide ribosomal RNA is filed under the name uncultured Glomus. RNAcentral describes it as "SSU rRNA". It matches the Rfam family "Eukaryotic small subunit ribosomal RNA", at positions 583 to 912 of the family's 1831-position model. The record is from RNAcentral. Lineage: Eukaryota; Fungi; Glomeromycota; Glomeromycetes; Glomerales; Glomeraceae.